RNAcentral lists this ribosomal RNA (2934 nucleotides) under Pectobacterium carotovorum subsp. carotovorum. RNAcentral describes it as "bacterial LSU rRNA". It matches the Rfam family "Bacterial large subunit ribosomal RNA". Lineage: Bacteria; Pseudomonadati; Pseudomonadota; Gammaproteobacteria; Enterobacterales; Pectobacteriaceae. The record is from RNAcentral.
GGGUUGUGAGGUUAAGCGACUAAGCGUACACGGUGGAUGCCUAGGCAGUCAGAGGCGAUGAAGGGCGUGCUAAUCUGCGAUAAGCGUCGGUAAGCUGAUAUGAAGCGUUAUACCCGACGAUACCCGAAUGGGGAAACCCAGUGUGUUUCGACACACUAUCAUGACAUGAAUACAUAGUGUCAUGAGGCGAACCGGGGGAACUGAAACAUCUCAGUACCCCGAGGAAAAGAAAUCAACCGAGAUUCCCCCAGUAGCGGCGAGCGAACGGGGAGGAGCCCAGAACCUGAAUCAGUUUGUGUGUUAGUGGAAGCGUCUGGAAAGUCGCACAGUAAAGGGUGAUAGUCCCGUACACAAAAAUGCACAAGCUGUGAGUUCGAUGAGUAGGGCGGGACACGUGACAUCCUGUCUGAAUAUGGGGGGACCAUCCUCCAAGGCUAAAUACUCCUGACUGACCGAUAGUGAACCAGUACCGUGAGGGAAAGGCGAAAAGAACCCCGGCGAGGGGAGUGAAAUAGAACCUGAAACCGUGUACGUACAAGCAGUGGGAGCCUACUUGUUAGGUGACUGCGUACCUUUUGUAUAAUGGGUCAGCGACUUAUAUUCUGUAGCAAGGUUAACCGUAUAGGGGAGCCGCAGGGAAACCGAGUCUUAACUGGGCGUUAAGUUGCAGGGUAUAGACCCGAAACCCGGUGAUCUAGCCAUGGGCAGGUUGAAGGUUGGGUAACACUAACUGGAGGACCGAACCGACUAAUGUUGAAAAAUUAGCGGAUGACUUGUGGCUGGGGGUGAAAGGCCAAUCAAACCGGGAGAUAGCUGGUUCUCCCCGAAAGCUAUUUAGGUAGCGCCUCGUGAAUUCAUCUUCGGGGGUAGAGCACUGUUUCGGCUAGGGGGUCAUCCCGACUUACCAACCCGAUGCAAACUACGAAUACCGAAGAAUGUUAUCACGGGAGACACACGGCGGGUGCUAACGUUCGUCGUGAAGAGGGAAACAACCCAGACCGCCAGCUAAGGUCCCAAAGUCAUGGUUAAGUGGGAAACGAUGUGGGAAGGCACAGACAGCCAGGAUGUUGGCUUAGAAGCAGCCAUCAUUUAAAGAAAGCGUAAUAGCUCACUGGUCGAGUCGGCCUGCGCGGAAGAUGUAACGGGGCUAAACCAUGCACCGAAGCUGCGGCAGCGACACUUAGGUGUUGUUGGGUAGGGGAGCGUUCUGUAAGCCGUCGAAGGUGACCUGUGAGGGUUGCUGGAGGUAUCAGAAGUGCGAAUGCUGACAUAAGUAACGAUAAUGCGGGUGAAAAACCCGCACGCCGGAAGACCAAGGGUUCCUGUCCAACGUUAAUCGGGGCAGGGUGAGUCGACCCCUAAGGCGAGGCUGAAAAGCGUAGUCGAUGGGAAACAGGUUAAUAUUCCUGUACUCGGUGUUACUGCGAAGGGGGGACGGAGAAAGCUAGGUUAUCCGGGCGACGGUUGUCCCGGUUUAAGCGUGAAGGUGGAUGACUUUGGUAAAUCCGGGUCGUCAUUAACACUGAGGCGUGAUGACGAGUCACUACGGUGAUGAAGUAACCGAUGCUACGCUUCCAGGAAAAGCCUCUAAGCUCCAGGUAACAUCAAAUCGUACCCCAAACCGACACAGGUGGUCAGGUAGAGAAUACUCAGGCGCUUGAGAGAACUCGGGUGAAGGAACUAGGCAAAAUGGUGCCGUAACUUCGGGAGAAGGCACGCUGAUGGUAGGUGAAGUGACUUGCUCAUGGAGCUGAAAUCAGUCGAAGAUACCAGCUGGCUGCAACUGUUUAAUAAAAACACAGCACUGUGCAAACACGAAAGUGGACGUAUACGGUGUGACGCCUGCCCGGUGCCGGAAGGUUAAUUGAUGGGGUCAGCCGCAAGGCGAAGCUCUUGAUCGAAGCCCCGGUAAACGGCGGCCGUAACUAUAACGGUCCUAAGGUAGCGAAAUUCCUUGUCGGGUAAGUUCCGACCUGCACGAAUGGCGUAAUGAUGGCCAGGCUGUCUCCACCCGAGACUCAGUGAAAUUGAACUCGCUGUGAAGAUGCAGUGUACCCGCGGCAAGACGGAAAGACCCCGUGAACCUUUACUAUAGCUUGACACUGAACCUUGAGCCUUGAUGUGUAGGAUAGGUGGGAGGCUUUGAAGCGUGGACGCCAGUCUGCGUGGAGCCAACCUUGAAAUACCACCCUUUAAUGUUUGAUGUUCUAACGUGGACCCGUAAUCCGGGUUGCGGACAGUGUCUGGUGGGUAGUUUGACUGGGGCGGUCUCCUCCCAAAGCGUAACGGAGGAGCACGAAGGUUAGCUAAUCCUGGUCGGACAUCAGGAGGUUAGUGCAAAGGCAUAAGCUAGCUUGACUGCGAGAGUGACAGCUCGAGCAGGUGCGAAAGCAGGUCUUAGUGAUCCGGUGGUUCUGAAUGGAAGGGCCAUCGCUCAACGGAUAAAAGGUACUCCGGGGAUAACAGGCUGAUACCGCCCAAGAGUUCAUAUCGACGGCGGUGUUUGGCACCUCGAUGUCGGCUCAUCACAUCCUGGGGCUGAAGUAGGUCCCAAGGGUAUGGCUGUUCGCCAUUUAAAGUGGUACGCGAGCUGGGUUUAGAACGUCGUGAGACAGUUCGGUCCCUAUCUGCCGUGGGCGUUGGAAGAUUGAGAGGGGUUGCUCCUAGUACGAGAGGACCGGAGUGAACGCACCACUGGUGUACGGGUUGUGAUGCCAAUUGCAUUGCCCGGUAGCUAAGUGCGGAAGAGAUAACCGCUGAAAGCAUCUAAGCGGGAAACUUGCCUCGAGAUGAGUCUUCCCUGGGUACUUGAUACCCCUGAAGGGCCGUUGAAGACGACGACGUAGAUAGGCUGGGUGUGUAAGCGUAGCGAUACGUUGAGCUAACCAGUACUAAUGACCCGAGAGGCUUAACCUUACAACACCGAAGGUGUUU